GGGCUUGUGGCGCAACGGUAGCGCGUUCGACUCCAGCUACCAUUGAGGCUAUCGAAAGGUUAUCCGUUCAAAUCGGGUCAGGCUCA
This is a non-coding RNA of Thermothelomyces thermophilus ATCC 42464, 86 nucleotides long. NCBI's taxonomy places the organism in Eukaryota, Fungi, Ascomycota, Sordariomycetes, Sordariales, Chaetomiaceae. The record is from the annotation of a RefSeq genome assembly.